UACGUAGGUGGCAAGCGUUGUCCGGAUUUACUGGGCGUAACGAGCGCGCAGGCGGUCGUUCAAGUCGCGUGUGAAAGCCCCCGGCUCAACUGGGGAGGGUCACGCGAUACUGAUCGACUCGAAGGCAGGAGAGGGUAGUGGAAUUCCCGGUGUAGUGGUGAAAUGCGCAGAUAUCAGGAGGAACACCGGUGGCGAAGGCGGAUCUCUGGGCCUUACCUGACGCUGAGGCGCGAAAGCUAGGGGAGCGAACAGG
RNAcentral lists this ribosomal RNA (253 nucleotides) under uncultured bacterium. Its description in RNAcentral is "partial 16S ribosomal RNA". It matches the Rfam family "Bacterial small subunit ribosomal RNA", at positions 524 to 776 of the family's 1533-position model. The record is from RNAcentral.